GACGAACGCUGGCGGCGUGCUUAACACAUGCAAGUCGAGCGGAAAGGCCCUGCUUUUGUGGAGUGCUCGAGUGGCGAACGGGUGAGUAACACGUGAGUAACCUGCCCUUGACUUUGGGAUAACUUCAGGAAACUGGGGCUAAUACCGGAUAGGAGCUCCUGCUGCAUGGUGGGGGUUGGAAAGUUUCGGCGGUUGGGGAUGGACUCGCGGCUUAUCAGCUUGUUGGUGGGGUAGUGGCUUACCAAGGCUUUGACGGGUAGCCGGCCUGAGAGGGUGACCGGCCACAUUGGGACUGAGGUACGGCGCAGACUCCUACGGGAGGCAGCAGUGGGGAAUAUUGCACAAUGGGCGGAAGCCUGAUGCAGCAACGCCGCGUGCGGGAUGACGGCCUUCGGGUUGUAAACCGCUUUCGCCUGUGACGAAGCGUGAGUGACGGUAAUGGGUAAAGAAGCACCGGCUAACUACGUG
This 468-nucleotide ribosomal RNA is filed under the name uncultured bacterium. Its description in RNAcentral is "partial 16S ribosomal RNA". It matches the Rfam family "Bacterial small subunit ribosomal RNA", at positions 28 to 507 of the family's 1533-position model. The record is from RNAcentral.